RNAcentral lists this ribosomal RNA (414 nucleotides) under Triticum aestivum (bread wheat). RNAcentral's name for it is "partial small subunit ribosomal RNA". The record is from RNAcentral. Lineage: Eukaryota; Viridiplantae; Streptophyta; Magnoliopsida; Poales; Poaceae.
AUGUGUGCCAUGGAGGCUACGUUAUGUUUCAUAGCUCUAUCCAUCCCAUUAUAUCUUUUGCUUCUCAAGCUCGCCAGCGGCAGGAGCAACAACCCAAGAAAGCCGCAGCUACCGCCUGGACCAUGGACCAUCCCCAUCAUCGGCAGCCUCCAGCACAUCGUCAGCACCGUCUCGGAGUUGUGUUGCCGGCGUGUGCCACUGACCCUCCUCGAGCUCUGCAAGGACCCCACCAUGGAGGUCUUGAUCGCUGAGGUGGUCAGUCGAGUCCGCUCCAUUGCGGCCUCGGCGGGCGAUGCUGCGGUGUAUGUCAGCAAGAAGGUGGCGGCGCUGAGCAACGACAUCACGAGUCUGGUGGUAUUCGAGGGGCAGGAGGAAUGGACAUAUAUACCACCGCGAGGCCGGCGAGAUCAUUGA